Molecule: RNA transcript, 4663 nt
Organism: Zingiber officinale
Lineage: Eukaryota; Viridiplantae; Streptophyta; Magnoliopsida; Zingiberales; Zingiberaceae
Gene name: UDP-xylose transporter 1-like
Exons: 12
Source: RefSeq, a predicted model, not a curated record
CGGACCGGUCUAAUUCGAUUCUCCUCCAAGCAUGCGACGGAAUCGGUGGUCGGGAACUCCUCCCGACGAAGACGUUGGCGGGCGGCGGAGCGCUUCUAUAUCUACUAUGAAACCCUAGGCCUUCGAUGCUUCAAUGCUGUUCCGGCCGAAUCUCUCAUCUCUACCGCGAAUUCCUCGCCGCUGCUCGACAAGCUGUCACCUGCUCUCGUGUCUGGCGGCGGAGGUUGCCUCCGAGGAGGAGCAGGAGCUUGUGCCCGGUUCUUCUUCUACCUCAGAGACCAGGAAUUUCUUGGGAAAAAUUGUCCCUUUACUCAAACCAGAGGCCGAAAGGAUUGUUCCGUGUGGAUUCGUCCACGAGGGCAUCAGUCAACAUGGGGCUCUGAAGAAGGAAAUGGUACCGUGCCCUAAAUUUCAUGUGAGAUACUGGAUAUCGAGGUUGGAGGCUUGCCACGCCUUGGCCAGAGACGGGAGAUUGGACGACAUUAUAAGGGUUUUGCGACAGAUGGUGUAUGACCAAGGAGCUGGAUCGGCACCAUUAUUCUGCGAGCACUUGUUGACUCAUUUCAGACAUUGGGAUUCCAGCAGCAUUGUGUGGGAUAUGCUGGCAAAUAUAUAUGCUAGAUCAAAAAUGAUUGAUGAUGCUCGUUUCGUAUUACGUGAGAUGGCUAUCUUGGACAUGCAAGCUUCUGUAUCUACUUAUCACAGUGUCUUAUACAGUGCAAAAUAUACAGAUAUUGUUCUUGAUCUUUAUCGAGAAAUCCAAGCUAGUGGGGUUUAUUGUGGAGGGCACACAAUUGAUCUCCUUAUUGAUGGUCUCUGCAAACAAGGAAGAGUGCAAGAUGCAAUAUCAUUCUUCCAAGAGAUAAGCAAAGAGAAAUCAUUUUACCCUUGUUUGAUUACCUUCAAUUCUCUCAUAUCCGGAGCAUGUAAUUCUGGCUUUAUCUUGAUCGCAUGGUCUCUCCUCUCUCUUUCCUUUAAGUAUGGAUUUGUUCCAGAUAAAUAUAGUUACAAUGCGCUUAUGCAUGGAUUGUGUCUAGCAGGAAAGGUGGAAGAAGCUUUGGAACUCUUUGAGCGCAUGCAAAAUGAUGGCAUAGAGGCUGAUGUGGUUAUGUAUAAUACUCUUAUAAAUGGGUGUCGCUUAAUUGGAUCGAUGCGUGAGAUCUGGAUGCUCAUUAGAAUGAUGAUAAAACAGGGACUGCAGCCUGAUCUCUUUACUAAUACUAUUGUGAUAAGUGGUCUUUGUGAUGAAGGCAAUGUCAAUGAAGGAUUGAAGAGGAUGGAUAUGCUUGAUAGGGGAUGCAAGCUGAAUAUUGUGACUUACAGUGUUCUCUUCAUUGCCCUUUUCAAAAGAGCAUCGAUUGCGAAAGUUGAAGAGUUGCUCAAUGAGAUAAAAGAUAAUAACCUCGAUAUGGAUCUGGUAGCAUAUUCCAUCCUCAUAAGUGGGUAUUGCAAAUUAGGAGAAAUAAACAAGGCACUUCAGUUAUGCCAGAUUAUGCGCUCAAACAAUGUGAUGCCUAUUUCAUUAUUUCACAGAACAAUUCUUUCCGGCAUGUGCAAGAAAGGUUUGAUGUCAGAAGCGAAGUGGUAUUUGGAGUACCUAGUUGCUAAUGGUCAGGCAUUGGACAUUACAUUAUAUAACAUUGUUAUCGAUGGUUUUGCAAAAGUUGGUGAUGUCAAAGAAGCUCUUGGAAUAUAUGAGCAACUAAUUAGGUCGGCCGUAACUCCUACAGUUGUGACUUAUAAUUCCUUGAUUUAUGGCUUUUGUAAGAUUGGAAAUCCAACCGAUGCAAAGGAAUUUUUGAAGCAAAUGGAUAUGCAUGGAUUGGCUCCUACAGCCACAACCUACAGUACACUUAUUGAUGGAUUUUGUGAAAUUGGGGAUAUCAAUUCCAUGAGGAUGAUGCUUGAGGAAAUGGAUGGGAGAGCAAUCAUACCCAAUAAAAUUACUUAUAGUGUAGUUAUUAAGGCGCUUUGUAAAAGUGGUCAAGUAAGAGAGGCUUUUGAUAAACUGAACAAUAUGGUUACAUUGGGUAUAGGUGCCGACUCGAUCACCUAUACUACAGUUAUGAAAGGUUUUUGUGAACAGAGAAAUUCAAAAAUGGUUUUCCACAUAUAUGAUAUAAUGAUAAAUGGUGGACUGGUGCCUACUCCUGUUACUUAUACCUAUCUCAUUGAUUGUCUUUGUUUAAAUUGUCAAGUUGACAGAGCAGAGGAGGUUUUGUAUUUUCUUUUGCAUCAGGGUAUCAGAUUGAGAAAAUUUUGCUAUAUGACAGUCAUUCAAGCAUAUUGUGGGAUGGCAAUGCCGGAUAAAGCCUUUGUGCUCUUAGAUGAAAUGCUGAAAUCUGGAUAUGAGGUUACAAUCAAAGAUUUUAGUGCAAUAAUCAACCGACUAUGUAAACGGGACUUUGUACACGAUGCAAAAAUAUUCUUUAAUAAGAUGUUAGGUAUCGGCAUAUAUCCAGAUCAGGAACUGUCCCUUGUGAUGUAUAAUGCCUUCCUUAAAACCAAUGAUUACAAGUCAUUGUGUACUCUCCUUGCCUUUUUGGUUAAAACAGGAUUGUAGCUACGAUCACAGGAGCACACUGUUCAAGCUUUGCAAUCCCUUGAAUCCUCCUUUGUCAGACAGCAUGAGUCUGGUAGAAGCAACAAAGUUACCAGGAAGCUUACCCUCUUCUGGGUCUAGUAUGCCGAGACGGAUCUCCUCCUAGUUGAUCAUGCUGUGGUUGAUGACCUCCCUCUUAAACGAUGUUGAGUUUAUUACAUUUUGCCUAUUUGAAGAAUUUACUUAGCUGCUUCUUACCCAAAGUUCUGAUACUUGAGCAGUGUUAACAUAAACAGCCCGAUGAUCAAGGACACAAAGAACAUUCAAGUAAAGAUUUUUGGGGUGACUUGCAAAUCUUAGUUGCAACUCCAUCAUCUGAUAUCCCAAAAUUGAUUUCCUCCUAGUUGAUGUGGUUGACCAUGUCCCUGCUCUAGCGACAUGGAGUCAGUCAGAUUUCGUCUAAUGUCCCAGCUCUAUUGGAAGGUCAUGCAGUUUAUGCUUAUCCCCUGCCUGAAUCUUGUGACGUAUGAACUGAUUCUGCACACUUCUGUCAAGUGACUUUGCUCUAUCUGUUUCCUUCAAUGUUAUAACGCUGCUUAUUGGCAUUGGUUGAGGGCACUGACUAGUCACGUCAGACAACUCUUCGUUGAGACCUUGUCAGACGAGCAAAUACAUUGUUCACUGUUAUAAUGCCGCUUAUUGGCAUUGAUCGAGGGCACUGACUAGCAUGUUAGACAACUCUUUAUCGAGACCUGGUUGGACGAGAUUACAACUUCUCAUCUCAAAAAUCAAUAGAAGAUAACAAGAUAAAGAGAGAUCUUCUCCGGCAGUCGUCGCCAGUGGUGAUCACCGCCACACAGGGUUUGCCAACUUGGGAUUUGCACUGAGGUAUUAAGCAGGAAAAUAUGGCCUCCGUGGAGGGUUCAGGGUUUCAGAUUGGGAUGGUUGGGUCUCUAGCUCUCUCAGUUGCCUCCUCGGUUUCCAUUGUCAUAUGCAACAAAGCUCUCAUGAGCAGCCUUGGCUUCCCUUACGCUACAACCCUGACAAGCUGGCAUCUAAUGGUGACCUUCUGCACCCUCCAUGUUGCACAGCGCUUCCACCUCUUCGAGCCCAAAUUGAUUGAUGCAAAGACAGUGGUUCUCUUCGGGAUUCUUAACGGCACCUCCAUUGGAUUCCUUAACCUCUGCCUUGGCUUCAACUCGGUUGGAUUCUACCAGAUGACUAAACUAGCCAUCAUCCCUUUCACAGUCCUGCUGGAGACUAUAUUCCUGAAGAAAAAAUUCAGCAAGAGCAUAAAGUUCUCUCUUCUUGUCCUGCUCUUUGGAGUUGGCAUUGCAUCGGUCACAGAUCUGAACCUCAACCUUGUCGGCUCAAUCCUCUCGUUUCUGGCUAUUGCUACUACAUGUGUUGGACAAAUUAUGACGAACACAAUUCAAAAGAGGUUGAAGGUUUCAUCCACACAGCUUCUGUAUCAAUCAUCACCAUUCCAAGCAGCUAUUCUAUUUGCCACUGGCCCAUCUGUGGACAGACUGCUCACCAAGCGAAGCGUGUUUGCCUACAACUAUUCCUUUAUGGUUCUGGUGUUCAUUGUCUUGUCUUGCUUGAUCGCGGUUUCUGUCAACUUCAGCACCUUCCUAGUAAUUGGAACGACAUCACCAGUGACAUAUCAAGUUCUUGGCCACGUCAAGACCUGCCUCAUUCUUUCCUUCGGCUACAUUAUACUUCACGACCCCUUCACAGCUAGAAACAUUAUGGGAAUCCUGACCGCCGUCUUUGGAAUGGGUCUGUAUUCAUAUUUCUCUGUGCAAGAGAGCAAGAAGAAAUCAGCAAACGAUUCUUUGCCCAUUUCGCAGAUGGCACAGAAAGAGACAGUGGCGCUCCUGGCAAGCAAGAACCAAGAUAAAGACCACAAUGAGACAAAAAGAUCAAAUGGAAUCCCUGCAGCUUCCAAGGACUCUUUUGAGUGACACAAUGCAUAAUUAUAUCUCCAGGGAUAAAUAUAUGGAUAGGUUUCUUGUUCUGAUAUUAAAAGCAGUUGAAUUAGGUUUACUUGAUUUUUUUUUAAAUGAGUAUAAAACCUCACUUGUUUCUGCAAUAAUAGUUGAUACGGAAGUUGUCUCA